GAAAGAUGGUUAUCGUUUCGUAACUGAGCGUUUAAGAAACAAGAUAGCACUCUAAU
This 56-nucleotide microRNA precursor is filed under the name Plutella xylostella (diamondback moth). Its description in RNAcentral is "microRNA pxy-mir-8523 precursor". Lineage: Eukaryota; Metazoa; Arthropoda; Insecta; Lepidoptera; Plutellidae. The record is from miRBase by way of RNAcentral.